CUGUAGGAGGCACCAUCA
RNAcentral lists this non-coding RNA (18 nucleotides) under Mus musculus (house mouse). The record is from RNAcentral. Lineage: Eukaryota; Metazoa; Chordata; Mammalia; Rodentia; Muridae.